GAUGAAGAACGUAGCAAAAUGCGAUAAGUAAUGUGAAUUGCAGAAUUCAGUGAAUCAUCGAAUCUUUGAACGCACAUUGCGCCCGCCUGUAUUCUGGCGGGCAUGCCUGUUCGAGCGUCAUUUCAACCCUCAAGCACAGCUUGGUGUUGGGACUCGCGUUAAUUCGCGUUCCCCAAAUUGAUUGGCGGUCACGUCGAGCUUCCAUAGCGUAGUAGUAAAACCCUCGUUACUGGUAAUCGUCGCGGCCACGCCGUUAAACCCCAACUUCUGAAUGUUGACCUCGGAUCAGGUAGGAAUACCCGCUGAACUUAAGCAUAUCAAUAAGCGGAGGA
Molecule: unclassified non-coding RNA, 332 nt
Filed under: soil metagenome
Description: partial contains 5.8S ribosomal RNA, internal transcribed spacer 2, and large subunit ribosomal RNA
Rfam family: 5.8S ribosomal RNA (bases 1-120)
Source: RNAcentral